Molecule: transfer RNA, 77 nt
Filed under: Mitsuokella sp. oral taxon 131 str. W9106
Lineage: Bacteria; Bacillati; Bacillota; Negativicutes; Selenomonadales; Selenomonadaceae
Also listed under: 1 other name
Description: tRNA-Arg
Rfam family: tRNA
About the family: Transfer RNA (tRNA) molecules are approximately 80 nucleotides in length. Their secondary structure includes four short double-helical elements and three loops (D, anti-codon, and T loops).
Source: RNAcentral
GCGGUUGUAGCUCAGCUGGAUAGAGCAGUUCCCUCCUAAGGAAAAGGUCGUGCGUUCGAAUCGCACCAAUCGCACCA